ACUCGCCGGGCACAACGCGCCUCGCGAUCUUCCCGGACCGGCAAAGCCGGACCCUGA
Molecule: small RNA, 57 nt
Filed under: Sinorhizobium meliloti 2011
Lineage: Bacteria; Pseudomonadati; Pseudomonadota; Alphaproteobacteria; Hyphomicrobiales; Rhizobiaceae
Description: putative ncRNA
Source: RNAcentral